CGGGACGGGUGAGUAACGCGUGGGUAACCUGCCUCAUACAGGGGGAUAACGAUUGGAAACGAUUGCUAAUACCGCAUAAGCGCACAGUACCACAUGGUGCAGUGUGAAAAACUCCGGUGGUAUGAGAUGGACCCGCGUCUGAUUAGCUAGUUGGUGAGGUAACGGCCCACCAAGGCAACGAUCAGUAGCCGACCUGAGAGGGUGACCGGCCACAUUGGGACUGAGACACGGCCCAA
RNAcentral lists this ribosomal RNA (236 nucleotides) under uncultured bacterium. RNAcentral describes it as "partial 16S ribosomal RNA". It matches the Rfam family "Bacterial small subunit ribosomal RNA", at positions 100 to 334 of the family's 1533-position model. The record is from RNAcentral.